CCGCCCCCAAACUCUACCCCGUCCUUGACCCUCGCCUGUUAGAAGGGCGGAGAGGAGGCCGACAGCGUGGCGUUGCCCCAGGGCCUUCGAGCUCGCCCUCGCCUCCCGCUCCAGCAGGUGCGGCCUGCUCGGGCCUCCGCCGCCACCGCCGAUCCCCUUACAGCUCGUCUGGGCCUUGUCGCCCCUGACUCCGCAGCCGCUGGACCAGUUGGCCACGUGGUCGUCGUCUCCGCGCUCUGCGCCUUGCUCCCCCUCGGCCCAGCCCUCGGUGCCGGCCGCGGGUCUGUCCGCGGCCCCUCCGACCCGCCGCGGCCAGGGCGCGCGGCGCGGCGUCCCUGGGCGUCCCUGGGCGUCCUUGGGCGCGGCCGCACGCCCGGUGCCAGGUGCAGACCCUCCGCCCGAGAGUCGCGGCUGCUUCCCCUCCGGCGUCGUCUUCCAUCCACGCGCCCGCCUCGCCCUCCCGCCUUCCUCCCGCCGGCCCUGUGCUUUCAGCCCCCAGCCGGGACGGUGGCACCUGGCAGCGCUUCCAGCUAGCGGGGCUCCUGCCCGCCGCUUCCCUGCCAGGCUCGGGGCCCGGGUUAGCAGUCCCUCCCGAAGGAAGCCCCUCUUUCUCUCCGCUCCCCUGCGCUCCUUCCCAGCGGUCCCUCUAGCGUGGGUGUGCCCCAUACCCGGAUGCUCGGCUCCGUCUCAAGGCCACCUACGCGACACUUUGUGGCACAAGUUGUCCAAGGCACUACGUGGCUUCCCGUGCCUGCACUUGUUAAAUCCUACUGCUCCCAUCACCGUGGGUCCCUUUCCUCCCACAGCCCUCGUCACACGGGCCCUGUGGGUGGGUCUGUCCGGUUCACGUUGUCCUCUCUUGGCUUAGUGUGGUGCCUGGAAUAUAACAGGCGCUCAGAAGAGCUUUGGUGAAUACACGAUGGCGUAUUCCGGGUGAAUAUUCCUGGAGGACCUCUCUUGCAUAAAAUAGGAAGACCUUAUGAAAUAGGCUCUUUGAAAUGGGAUGAUCGGUUUAAUCUUUCAGAUUUCCACUGAGUGUAUCCAGCGCUUGAAUCCGUUUAUCGACUCCGUUAUCCGGGCUAACACCUAGAACGUGGCAUACUCUCUAUGCCCAACGUGGGGCUGGAACUCACGACCCUGAGAUCAAGAGUCGCAGGCGGUACCGACUGAGCCAGCCAGAUGCCACUCAUUCAAAUUCUUAAAAGACAGGAGCUGUGAUUCCUGGCAAGACUUUUUGGAAACAAGGAAAAAGGCAGAAGGGACACAGAAAAAGAAAAAAAAAAAGCAUUUCACAGGAUCCAGAAACAGAGAGCACCUCAAAUUUUAGCUUGUCUCCCAUUCCCAAACCCUCACUUUCUUAAUACCCUUGAGCUUGGUAUGCUGUAUCUGCAGGGCCAAGAAGUGAAAAUACAGAUUUAAACCCUAGUUAACAAGGUGGAUAUGGGGGACCCAGGUGAUUAGUCAUUUUCCCAAAUGAUUUCUAAUUUCAUAACAAGAUACAUCCAAAAGACUUUAUCAUCAGACUUCAUUUAUAAUCUCUAUCCUUUAUUUCUGUCCUCCUGGUGUUUUCCUUUCAUGACUGUCCUACAAGAAAGCAGAGUGAUGUGUGGCUUGUCUGGUUGCUAAGGAGAGGUCAGCCUGAGACCACAGCACCAGGGGCCCAGCCCCGGCUCUGGGUCCUCUCCACUCUCCCGUGCUCAGCUUCAGAGAACCAUGUUCUGCCACUUCAGAUAGCAUAUCAAAUUAUUUGAUUUCUCAGAAACUUAAUGACUUACUUGGAAGACAAAAGACAAAAAAAAAAGACAAAAUUCACCCGUGUUGUGUCUCUUCCAAAUUCCUCCCAUUCCCUUCGUUCCUAGCUGGAAAACACAAUAGCUACACUUGCUGGAGGCUGAAGAGGCACCAGACAGUGUUAAGUACUUCGCACAUCUUGUCUCUUACAAGGGGCUCACAGUUAGGGAAACUAAGGCAUGGAAUUAAGGACACAUCAUCGUUUUAUGAGAGAGGAAAUGGAGGCUCAGGACUUAGCAGACUUCCUCCAGGUCCACAGCAAGGCUGUGGUGGAGCGGAGACCCCUUACCCUGAUCCAGCCCCUUGCUUCCCCGAACCGUUGUGAAGACUUCCUCUCUGGGUGAGAAACGAUUUUUCCAAGUUACCAUCGAGCUGAAAACAACUUGCAGAAAGCAGUGGGGCCUUACAGAGCUGUUGCUAACGUUAACAGCAGCCCCACAGCGUAAGCGGAUUUCAGGAGUUCAUCUCCACCAGCCAUCACGACAGUUCUGGUGACAGAAAAUAUUCUUAGGUACCAGUGAGGUGCUGGCUCAGGAUGCUUCUGUGGAAGGCCGGAGCACGUCCUCAUCGUCAGAAGAGGUGAAUGUGUAACUGUACACGGCAGGAUGGAUGGACUGUCCAAGUGUGGUUAAGGAGCUUCGAUCGUGGGAUGGAUGGGGGAAUUAUUCUGGAUUAUCGUGGUGUGCCUCCAGUUUAAGGACAACGGUCCUAAUGAGCAACGGGGUGGGGAGGAGAGUGUCAGAGGGAUGCCAUGAGAGCAGAUGGCCACCCACUGCUGACCUUGAAGAGGAGAAGCAACCACGAGCUGAGGAACCCUUGAGAAGCUGCAAAAGCAAGGAAAUGAAUUGUAACCCAGUGACUCUGGUUCUGGAAUUUUGAACUCCAGGACUGUAAGAGAAUAAACGUGUGUUGUCUUGAGCCACCACGUUCGUGUUGUGGCAGCAGCCUUAGGAAACUAAUUCAACUCCCGUACCCACAUAACAAGAAAGAGCUCCCCUAGAGCAGUGGCUGGGAGAUACUUUUGAUUUGUCCCAGCAAACUUCCAUUUAAAAACUGUUCCCUCACCCACUACGGCUACCGUACUGGCUAGUGAGCAGAAGAACUCCACAAUCAUAUUGAAAAUGUACAAAAUAACAAUAGAAUGAGAACUAGCCUUCAUUAAAAGACCAAAACAACACCAACAAUAGUAAAAAUUUUACAAAUAAUAAGAGCAAUCAAAAGACAACCAAGUCAAACCAACACAUAUGAUUCAACAAGAACAACUUCUCAUCUAGGAAAUUUGGGGACUCCAAUGAUGUGCAUAUGCCCACACACAAAGAGGAAGUUUGCGAUGUUGCCAAGCACUAUGUGGAGUCAGACGCUCAGUGACCUCAUGAUGUGCUCAUUUUGGUUUAUGAACAUCCAAUUUUAUUAACCCUUAAUAACUCACUAGUAGGUUACUCAGAAUUAGCACUUGCCCAUAUGAAAGAUUAGAGCCUUUGAACCCUUAAGAACUGAGAAACGGCCCUUGGUUUGGGAAUGCUUCUAAGACAAACAGUAAAGAGACCAACGUUUGAGAAAUGGCUCACAGUCAUUCUUCCUGCAAGUUUCGUAUAAUGAAUUGGAGAGGGCAUGUCCGUUGUGUGCAGAAGAUGAGGAACUCUGGAGAGCGUUGAGGGCAGGUGAAAGAAUUUCCAAGUUUGGUUCCUGAGAGAUGACCCCAUUCAUGACAUAGGUCAUUGUACAUUGGUUCUUUUUCUUGCAACACCUUGGAGUGAACUUUUUGCAUUCAUCUCUACAUGUUUCAAAAUGUGUUUCUGGAAGAUAAAGAGCACAUAUUAUCACAGCUCACACAAGUAACGAGUUUUGCCACCUAAUCUAGGCAUCAGAGUUACCCCACCAGGUAAAAAUAACGUGGUUGUGAUGUUAUCUUUUUGAAAAAUUCUGUAGAAAACUGAUAUCUGAUGUUUCAAAUGUUGAUGUGGGAGCCGCUGAAUCCCCGGAGUGGAAGGUCCCUGCAGGAGGUGGAGAUCAAACCCUUGAAUGUUUGAAUCCUGUCUCCCCAGCAUCAUGAAGAAUUUCCUGUCUUCCCAAUUUCCUUCAGUUAAUUUUCAUCACAGGAUUUCAAGCGUCUUCAUGCCUCGGUCCUCUGGGAUACCCCCAUGUUCUCUUUCAGAUUGUGACCUGCAGUAUUCUAGAUAUGAAACGAGGUCUCCCCAGUAGCACCAUAACCAAACCGUCUGCUGUUUUUCUCUUUUGAUUGCCACAUUUAUUCCACAAAAAUUUAUUGGGGAUGGACCAUGUGAGCAAAACACAUGAAAAUCCUGCUCUCAUGGAGUUCCCACCCCAUGACCUGUAUCACUGACUUAGAAAUGUAGACGUCCUAAAUUUGCUUCGAACUUCUUCAGAAUUUACUCAGCCAGGUUCCUGGCAGCUUCACACCCCCUGUAAGCGGCUGGCUGUCCCUGUGGCGCUUGCUGCUACUCCAUGUGGAAGGUGUUUCUAAAGUUUCCGUAGCUUACCCUGGGUCCGAGCAGCCGCUGGGUUGCGGUACAAAGAUCUUUAAAUGAAAACAUUUUUAUCCACUUCUCACGUUUAACGCUUUUUUUGUCAUUUAACACGCAGUUAUUUACUAUUUCCUUUUUUCCCCUGUAAACAGUAACGUCAAAUGAAAAUGAACAGAAGUAGGAUAAGGUCUCUUAGAACACAAAGCAACAACGAAAAGCCAAAAGACACAACCUUGGCCCUGGGAGAGUAGUGAAAAGAAGGAAUCACACACAAAGGCGGGAACCUCGCGAUCGCUUUGUAGUCUGUUGCCAAAGUGACAGCCACACACUCUGGAGGACGGUUAUUAAGAAGCGGAGUGCCCGGCUCUCUCCAGUUGCUGUGGUCGCCGCGGCCCCCAAGCAGAUGACCCUCCUCCUGACGAACCUUCAGCAGACAGUCCCGGAAUAGCCUGACGCCACCUCAGUGCGUCACCACGUAGGCAUUUUAUCAUCUCCCAUGAUCACGGGAAGAACGUAUGUCUUUGCUGUUUGCUUUAGAGUCGAUUUUCCGCCCCUUGCACCUGUUGUUUCGUGAAGGGCUCUGACCAGUAGAAUGCACAAGUGGUGUCUGGGACGCCCGAGGCCAGGUCUCGAGACCCCGACGCUCUGCUGUGUGUCAGAGGGGAGUCAGCCCCUGGGGAAGAGGCUGGGGCCGACCUGCUGUGGGGAGAGGCCCAGACACAGCCCCACGCCGGCCGGAGCGGUAGCCACGCGUGACUCCUGAGUGCUUGUCGUGGGACUGUAACUGAGAAACAGAAUCUUUUUUAACGGUUUUGAUCCGUAUUGUUUUCGAUGUAAAUAGCCACAUGUGGCUAGCACUUCCUGCAGUGGACAGCGCUGUCCCGGCGGAAACAGGCCACGUGGACGCAGAGGCCACACGAACGGGAAUGGAGGUGUCCCACUGACGGCCAGCACCGUGGCGCCAGACGGGGGAGGCCCCCAGCCCUGGCUGAGCCCCGCCAGCCACCAGCGUGUGGAGCAGAGACAAGCCGUCCCUGCUAACCCUUGCCCAGCUCCCUGACCUGCAGCAGCAUGAGCAAGAAGGUGGUCUUCAGCCAUUAAAUUUGAGGUGGCUUGUCACGGGGCCAUGGAGGUGGCCAGUAGGUGACUGGUGGAGACAUGGUGUCGAGAAGGGCCCGCCAUCCAGUGAGGGCCUGCCACGAGCCUUUCCAGUCAAGUGAUGGUAACUGUUACUACGCCGAAGUGUUGACUGCACUAGGUCCCAGUGGAAGAAAUUAAGGUGCUCGAAGUAGAAUGGGCAAGGAGAAACCAUUCUCACUGAGUAAGGACGAGGGUCUUCAGGUGCACCGCUGCUCAGAAAAAUCCCUGUGGUCCCGCGGAGGAACAAGGCAGAACAAGGAUGUCUGGGUCCUGCCACUGCAUUUGAGGGGCUCUUCCUUGGACUCAGCAGAACCUGUGAGUCCUGCCCCCUCCUACUCCCCACAGGACACCCUCCUGUUCUGUUCUGUUUCGUUUUCCCUCAAAGACAGACCGUCAUAACUCCUGGCCUUGGUUUUCAGCGUAGCCCACUGAAGGCCAGAGGGCGUGGCGGGAGAGCGGGACUGAGCAAGGAUCGGUUACAGCUGUUGGCCUCCUGACUGCUCUGAGAAGCACGGGUUUCUACCUCCCACCCCCCUUGCCGCUGAGGUGCCGACUCCGCAUCCUAUAGAUUCCCCUGGUGUCCCUGGUCACAUGGAAUUGAUACUCCUUACCUCUACUGUCGUUUACUGCCCUGAUGCUGCAUUAAUUACAUCUGCAGGAUCAAGGCGGGCCCGUGAAUUAUUAAUGAAAGGGAUCAUUAUACCUGAGUGGAAUUUUUCCCUCCUCACCAUCCUCAUGCUGCAUUUCCGAAAGUCCAUCAGCUGACCUCUACACCCUUUCUUAAGUCUGUGCUGUUUUGGUGAGGAUGUACUUGGGGAACAGAUGAGAAACACCUUGGGGAACAGAUGAGAAAUGGUACCCUCUCUCAAUUGGCCAGGUGAAAAAAUAGCAAAGUUGUACUCUGCAUAAUGUGUGACACAUUAUUUAGGGAUGGAUACAUAUCCCACAGUAGGAGAUUAUUGAGAAGAUUUUGAAUUUUGUUCAUCCAAAGAUUUACACAUUUUUCUGCAUUGCAUUUUGUGCAAAUAAACUAUUCAAUAGACCUGAGAUUCCUUGUAGACUGCUAAGAGCCCUCACCCAUUUUAGAGCUGUGCUAGGGUCCUGGGAUCUGGCUUGUCUGACCCCCUGCUCAUGCAUGUGCAGGGGAGUGGGCUUCAUUCUCUGUCUGGCAUCAGCCACAGGAGCUGAGCUUGUACUCGAGAGCUGUGGGUCAGGGAGCGAAAGGGAAUUCUCAUCUGCACGGGGCAGAUGUGUAAGUCAAGGCGAGGGGAAAGAAGGGAGAAGAGGAGAAAGACAAAAAUGGGGCUAAAAACCCAACCUGGAAAAACGGGCAGAAGCAGGAGGAUACUCAGGAAGUUCAAGGAGGACGGGGAACACAUCUGAUUUUCUUGCUGUUAUUUCUCCACGCCUACUACGGUGAUGACACACGUCGGCAGGACAAGAAGUAGCUGUUGAAGGACUAGAUUACUAAAUGAGAAGCUCGUGGUUGAACCUAGGAAGAAAUAUUUAGGGCCAAGUCCAAGCUACACUGUGCAUUGGCAGUGUUCUGCUUUGUCCCAUCCUUCCCCCUCUGCCGAGGUAGAAGUGGUACAUCUUAAGAUUUAAAAUUGUAUCUCUAAUUGUAGGAUUUGAGACUGGUAGCAUGGUGAAGGGUUAGGGGAGGUUGGUCCUGCUGAAAUGAAGCAAGAAAAAAGAGUGGCAGGAGACACGGACGUUUAUUGAGCAUUUCCCAUCGGCAAGCGCUGUGUCGAGCACGUCCCACACAUUGUUUGGUUUAAUUCUCACAACAACAUUUUGCGGGAGGUACAACCACUACCCCGGUGUUCCUGACAAAGACGCUGGGGCACAGGACGUUGAAGUGACUUCGUCCGGCUGCUUUCAAAGCAGAGCCCCGAGCGGGCCUCUCCCCUUCCACCACUGUACGUUUCCCGACUUGCUUGCUGCUAGGAAGCGUUUGCAGUGCUUAUUGAAAAUGUGAGUCCCCAGGACCCGAACCUGGAGCUUACUAAGUCAAAAUAACCACUGGGUCUUUAACUGGCACCCGAGAUGACUGGUUUUUUGAAGCUACUUUGGGGAACACUGCGGACACUGGACGUUCCCGGUAGACACUGCAUUACUAAAAUUACUGGUUAGAGCUUCACUGUGUCACUUAUCCACAGAAGAAAUUUAGAUGCUUUGAACUGUUGAUAAUUUUCUUUGUAAAAAUUCCUAGAAACGAGUAUAUAUUAGUUUGUGAUUGUAAGAGGAACGUGAACUGUAUUUAGAUGGAAGAAUACUAUGGUAACAUUUUAUUCCCAUUAGGAAUAGAUACAAGGUGAAUACUAUUUGUAAAAGAAACAAAAAAUUUACUGAUUUGUUUAAAGGUUGUUUAAAAAAGAUCUAUAAAUAGUUUGAAUUCCAAUUAAUGUUUCAUAACAUAAAACGGUGGUUAAUCUCUAAAAGGAAACAUUAGGCUAAUUGGAUUUUUAAAUCUGAAAAGCCCACAGGGAUAACCUUUUCUUGAUUAAAAAAUUUAGCUCAUUUUACAGCAUACAUUUUGGUCAGGGUGAGGGAAGGGUAAUUAACUUCCCAUGGAAGAUUCACUAAUUAACACUAGAGCAGAAUCACACUACACAAGACUUGAACUUGGAGGAAAUGCAAAAGUAUUUAUCAGGUGCAGUGCAGUGGAAUCUAACAAAAUACUAGGAUGAUCUGUUUAAUAUUAAUGCCUAAGUUCUAUUUUAAGAUAGGUUCCACAGAUUUCUUAAGUUUUUUCAUGAAUAUUAAGUUCGCUAUCUUGGGUCUAGUUUCAUCAAGCUUUGUGGAAGUCUUUAAGAUUGCAAAAUUUAAUAAGUGCAAACAGAUUUUAUCCUGGAAACAUGGGUUUUAUACAAGUAUUUAAAAAUACAGCCUGCAGGGGCACCUGGGUGGCUCAGUUGGUUAAGCGACUGCCUUCGGCUCAGGUCAUGAUCCUGGAGUCCCGGGAUCGAGUCCCGCAUCGGGCUCCCUGCUCGGCAGGGAGUCUGCUUCUCCCUCUGACCCUCCCCCUCUCAUGCUCUCUGUCUCCCAUUCUCUCUCUCGGAUAAAUAAAUAAAACCUUUAAAAAAAAAUAAAAUAAAAAUAAAAAUACAGCCUGCAGUUUUUAAUUAAUUAAGGCUCAUUAAGUAGAUUGGUUUAGUGCCACAUUGCCUAAAAAUCCAGUAUUUCGUAGUUUCAAAAACUUCAGAGGACUUUAUAAACAUUAUUUUGACUCUAUAGUCAUAGUGAAAGUAGUAUUACUUUUUAGGAUUAUUAUUUUUUUCUGUAAAAUAUACAUAUAAGUCAGUUAAAAUCUGUACAUUGGCUAAAUUGCUACAAGUAGUUUUUGCUGGAACAUAUUGCAUGCUUCAUAUUGUAAAUGCAUGAGAGCCUGUAGCAGAGUAGUUAGUAACUCUUCGUGAUUGGAAAGGGGAUGAACUGCUAGUUUAAAUGUUCUUUGCAGUUUAUUUUCUGUAAAUAUGGAGAUUACAUUUUGUCACUGAGGGGCUUUUCUCUUUUUUUUUUCCUAUGGGAGGAGCGGGGAGAGCAAAUUCAGAUAGAAAUAGAAUUUGGGGAAAGAACUUCAAAUGGCAGUACAUCAGACUGAGAUUGUUAAUCAUUCUGUUUCAUGACAUAAGAACAAAGCUUCCCUGGGGGCCCUUUGAGUAUUAAAAUGUUGACCAAGAGAGGAGACCUCCUAUUUGGGGGCAGCAAACCUGAUACCUGGUGGCAAGCUAAUUCCCUAGUGAUACUUUUGUUUCUUUUCUUUCCUUUUUCUUUUUUCUUUCUUUCUUUCUUUUUUUUUUUUUUGUGAGAAAGAGAGCGAGCAAGCAGGGGGCAGAGUAGUGGAGGGGCAGAGGGAGAGGAAGAGAGAGAAUCUUCAGCAGACUCCACGCUGAGCACAGAGCCUGACGUGGGGCUUGAUCUCAUGACCCCAAGAUCGUGACCUGAGCCGAGACCAGGAGUCAGACGCUUAACCAACUGAGACACCCAGGCUCUCCUACCUUUACGUUUCUAGUAAGUUUUGGAAAGUCUUCUGUGUAGGGGAUUAAAGAGAAGGAAAGGAAUCCAGGUUUGAGGGCAAAGAAGACGAAGGCAGAUGGGGAAUUGGAGGCAAGAAGAGAAUGUCUGGAGCGGUAGGUCUGGACCAGUGGUUAACAAGGGAGUGCCAGAGAGCCUUAGAAAUUUGGAGAAAGCAGCUGGCCUUACGCAGUCCUGUGGGAUAGGGACGGACUUGGUUUUUCAAGGGUUGGAUUUCUGAGGAGGAACUCUGUUUCCACCUGGACAGCAGUCCAGAGAGGGACCUGGGAGCCAAGUUCAAGGUCAUUAGUAAACUACAGCUCACCACACAGGAAAGCCAGAGAAUGAAGGAAAAUGGGCCUGUGCAGAAAGAGGAAAAAUGACAGGAAGUGGAAUUGAGAGAUCUGUGCAGUAUAAACAUGUGAACAGUCUUUCCAUGGUACCACGCAGUCUCUCAUGCUUCGGACCCCGUUACUAGCUUCCCCCAGGCAUCUGGGCUUGUGAGCUCAGGGGGGAGGCUUGUUGCCCAGAAGCUGGCUGGGGCAUGUGUGCCUCGUGUCCAGGGGUCAGGGGUGGCCAGGUGCGUGGCCCUGCAUAUCCAGCUUGCUUCUGCGGCUGUCAUGUGGCUCUCGGACCUUUGGUCUGCUCUUUCUGAGCUCCCUUAGGGCCCGGGGGAUCUCUCACACACCUGUGACUCCUCUGAAGUCUAAGGGGUGUUGUGUUCUCUCAGACGGGGGUGUCUGCCUUGAAGUGUGUGCAGGACCCGUUCUCAAGCUACAGAGGCCCCUUCGGGCCCUCCCCCCAAACUUCCUCCACCACACUCUGGAAUCCUGACACUCAUCAGAGCACUCAGGGCAUCUGGGGGAGGGAGGUGGCAAGAAAA
Long non-coding RNA from Mirounga angustirostris (Northern elephant seal), 10317 nucleotides. RefSeq lists it as uncharacterized. NCBI's taxonomy places the organism in Eukaryota, Metazoa, Chordata, Mammalia, Carnivora, Phocidae. The record is from RefSeq and is a predicted model, not a curated record. The transcript is spliced from 6 exons.